AUGUAUCUGCAUGAGGGAUGGAAAUGGCAUCCUUUUCUUUUCCUUCUUUAGGAAAAGAAAAGAUAUAAUGGACAGCCCGGCCCUUG
Molecule: small RNA, 86 nt
Filed under: Flavobacterium aquicola
Lineage: Bacteria; Pseudomonadati; Bacteroidota; Flavobacteriia; Flavobacteriales; Flavobacteriaceae
Description: Flavo-1 RNA
Rfam family: Flavo-1 RNA
Source: RNAcentral